UUAGGACUGGUUGCAAUGCCUAGGAGGAAAAGAUGAUUCAGCACUCUGAGCUUAAAAGGGCCUGUCAUAAAGGAAUAAUUUGAACUGUAAUCAACAGUGAACAUUGGAUAUGUAUUAUAUGUGACCAUGUUCUGUUGUUAAAAGCAGGAUACGUAAACCAUAUUAAGUCACAUGAAAAUUGGACAAAAUGCUUAGUGACAUUACAUUCUGAGUUCAAAUUCUGCUGAAGUCAACUUUACCUUUCAUCCCUUUCUGGGUCAAUGAAAUAAGAACCAGUUGAGUACUGGGGUUGAUGUACUAUAUUUUAACGUGCAUAAACAGCCCUCAUGCAUAAAGAGUUCCCUAAUUUUGGGGCUUAAAAUUUGGAAAAAAAGGUUUUGUAAGGGAUUAUAAGGAAUUAUCCAUAUAUAAGAAACUCCCAUAUUUUAUAACCUAAAUUUUGACAAGAAAGGGUUCCUUAUACAUGUAAAAAUGAUGUAAAUUGACCGAGGUCCUCCCCUAACAUUGCUGGCCUUGUACCAAAAUUUGAAACUAUUAUGUCUAUUUUCAAAUCUCAGAGAUCACUACCAUUCUGCAAUGUUCUAUAAUUUCAGAUCAUGUGGAACAUAGCAUAUAAACAACUCAAUGAAAUGGAAACACAAAGUUUGUGAAAUCACAGUAGAGCGAAAAGAAAUUACUCUUCUUGGAGCAUGGAGAUUCAGUGAAGAAGCUUAUAGUAGUAGUGAAAUAGAAACAUAAAUGAUGAUGAUGAUGGUGAUGACGAUGAUAACGAAGACGACGACAAUGACAACAAUGAUGAUGAUGAUGGUGCUACAGAAAGAAUUGUUCAUUGCUUGACUGAAUAUGGUCAUAAGCCAACCUAUAAAGAUACUAUUUUAAUAAACUGAAAUGGUAAUCUAAGUCUUGCUAUAGUUUAAAUAAUAGUUUAUUUGAAUAGUUGAUUUAAUUCCAUCCAAGCUGAAUAUGUUUGAAUGAAAUAUUUGAAUUCAAACUCUUAUUGAGCUGUUUAGGAGUAAACUUAUGUCGCAACUAGCAGCAAAGUAAUUAUAUUAAAGAUGAAGAGAAAACGAGAAUAAGAUGAUGGAGAGAAUAGAGAUGGUAAAAAUAAGAGAUGUCAGGUGAUUGGUUUUAUCAAAUUAAGUAAUUAUAUUUCUUGGGAAAUGUUGAAUUGGGAAAGUGAAGAAUUGGUCUGCAAUAAACAAUUGAAUUAUUUUCCAACACUGUCAUUUAA
Octopus bimaculoides (California two-spot octopus) is the source of this 1231-nucleotide long non-coding RNA. RefSeq lists it as uncharacterized. The record is from RefSeq and is a predicted model, not a curated record. Lineage: Eukaryota; Metazoa; Mollusca; Cephalopoda; Octopoda; Octopodidae.